RNAcentral lists this ribosomal RNA (814 nucleotides) under Klebsiella pneumoniae. RNAcentral's name for it is "bacterial SSU rRNA". It matches the Rfam family "Bacterial small subunit ribosomal RNA", at positions 537 to 1382 of the family's 1533-position model. The record is from RNAcentral. Lineage: Bacteria; Pseudomonadati; Pseudomonadota; Gammaproteobacteria; Enterobacterales; Enterobacteriaceae.
AGGGUUUAUCGGUAUACUGGGCGUAAGCGCACGCAGGCGGUCUGUCAAGUCGGAUGUGAAUCCCCGGGCUCAACCUGGGAACUGCAUUCGAAACUGGCAGGCUAGAGUCUUGUAGAGGGGGGUAGAAUUCCAGGUGUAGCGGUGAAAUGCGUAGAGAUCUGGAGGAAUACCGGUGGCGAAGGCGGCCCCCUGGACAAAGACUGACGCUCAGGUGCGAAAGCGUGGGGAGCAAACAGGAUUAGAUACCCUGGUAGUCCACGCCGUAAACGAUGUCGAUUUGGAGGUUGUGCCCUUGAGGCGUGGCUUCCGGAGCUAACGCGUUAAAUCGACCGCCUGGGGAGUACGGCCGCAAGGUUAAAACUCAAAUGAAUUGACGGGGGCCCGCACAAGCGGUGGAGCAUGUGGUUUAAUUCGAUGCAACGCGAAGAACCUUACCUGGUCUUGACAUCCACAGAACUUUCCAGAGAUGGAUUGGUGCCUUCGGGAACUGUGAGACAGGUGCUGCAUGCCUGUCGUCAGCUCGUGUUGUGAAAUGUUGGGUUAAGUCCCGCAACGAGCGCAACCCUUAUCCUUUGUUGCCAGCGUUCGGCCGGGAACUCAAAGGAGACUGCAGUGAUAAACUGAGGAAGGUGGGAUGACGUCAAGUCAUCAUGCCCUACGACAGGGCUACACACGUGCUACAAUGCAUAUACAAGAGAGCGACUCGCGAGAGCAAGCGACUCAUAAGUAUGUCGUAGUCGAUGAGUCUGCACUCGACUCAUGAGUCGGAUCACUAGUAAUCGAGAUCAGAUGCUACGUGAUCUUCCCGGGUCUA